GGAUGAGAAUCAGCACGUGCAGAUCAGCAGCCAUUGAGCAGGGGUGCCGGCUCACUGGUCAGAACAGGAUGAGGACUUCAGAGGUCCAGAUAGAACCUUCAAACAGAACCACGUACUGCUCCUUUGGAUCGAGAAGAGUGAAUUGACAUGAUUUGGGCACCUUAUAAAGAUGCUACCUCAUCUGUACCCAAGGGAACUGUUGCUGGCAAACCCCACUGGGCAGAGUGACAUGUUCCUAGUUCAUAAUGCUUGUAGAUUCCUAGAACAAGCUACAGGCUGGCUGAGAAAAACUCUUCGCGUUUGCCCAAACC
Brienomyrus brachyistius is the source of this 311-nucleotide long non-coding RNA. RefSeq lists it as uncharacterized. The transcript has 2 exons. NCBI's taxonomy places the organism in Eukaryota, Metazoa, Chordata, Actinopteri, Osteoglossiformes, Mormyridae. The record is from RefSeq and is a predicted model, not a curated record.